UGAUCUUUUCCUGUUCUCUACCCAUGAUUUUUCUUGCUGCUGUCCCGUUCUAUGUAGCAAGGAACCUAGCUUUAGGUUUUCCAGAAUGGAUGGGAAUUUUGGGGCACUGACAAAUUAUAUAGCGAUAUUGAUGGCAGUUUUGGUAUGGUAACGUAUAAUAGUGCUCCAACUUUUCGGAAUAAAAACAAUAGAUUCCUGGCUACAUAGUCCUCCUAUGGCACAAUUUGUCAUAAAGCACUUGGCCUGAGCAUGUACUUUGAAAAUGAAAACAAUUCAUGUAUCAUACACAAUAAAUCUUAUUUCUUUUUCCUUAUGCCCGAAGGUUUCACAAGAUGUACCCAAGUACUCAAUGGUGGCUGGAGAAAGAGCUGUGCUUCGCGGUCUGAAUUUGGAGGGUCUUCGUCGUCGCGGAUUUAAUGUCACAGAGGUUGGCAAUCUAUGAGUUUUUAAUUUUGAUGGCUCCAUAUAUAGCUGCAAAACAGUUCAUAAUUUGUAACUAAGAGAUUAGAGAUCGAAAGCAUUCUCUUUCGUGGCAAUAGACAGAAUCCUUAAUAUCCCUUGUUAACUUUUAACAAUUUUCUUGCACAGCCUCUGAGUACAUAUGAGAUUGCAUGUCAUCAUGUUACUGUGCUUUUCAUUCAUUAUGUAUUAAAGCAUAAUUAAGUUAAAAGUUAAUGGAACUUAGAAAGUUGCAUUUGUUUAUAAAAUAUGAAAAGAAAACGGCCAUGUUCCAGAAGAAUAAUUGAAUUUCAGUAGGUUUUGUCUGUAAAUAUAUUUUCUGACUACUACUCAACACAGAAACUUUUGUUGAGGUAUAAAGCCAUUUUUAAGUAUACCUAAAUCCAAUUUGUACAUACCUGAUCCUUAGAGGAACGAAUAUUUGAUUGCUUGAAUAAUCUGUGCGAAAAUGUCAAUGACCCCUGUGAGGAAAGGGGAGUAGUGGUGAGUUUAGUUAGGGAUGAGGUUUAGGGAUGAGGUUCAAUGGAGGUGGGAUGAGGUUCAAUGGAGGUGGGUUUUUUUUUUUUUUCUAGGCAAUGAUGCUGUUGCUUCUUAACUGAAGUGGCUUUACUGGAUAAGUAUUGAAAGAAAGCAUUUUUAGUUUUACAGUAUAUAAGUGAAACUUUACCGUUCCUUUCUUUCAAUUUUGACAUUAACCAAAAUUAUACAAUUGGUAAUGACAAUAACAAUUCAGGCUGUUUUCAAAACAACUCAUAUUAAGCGCAUUAUCCUGAAAUUGUUGAGUUUGGUAACUUUUUGUCUCCUUCAAUAGCAUUUUUGAUGGUUCUCUUAUGUUUAGUAUCCUUGAUAAAGUGAGAGAAGUUAUUUUUGACGCUAUUGAGAUCCAUUGGUUCCUUUUAUCCGAUCGUGCCUUCUAAAAAAACUUUUUUCUCUCUUCCAUUUUGAGCAAGGAUCUAGAUUAAGAGUUUGAGAACAGCUUACCGGAAGAUAUUUAUGCCUGUUGAUGCCCAUGCUGUGGGUUUUGAAGAACGUCUUACUGAAGUGGUAACCUAUCUUUCUCCCUCUAUCGCUUGCAUGCACAUACUUCUUC
RNAcentral lists this long non-coding RNA (1549 nucleotides) under Citrus sinensis (sweet orange). RNAcentral describes it as "long non-coding RNA (CSIN_LNC001735)". The record is from RNAcentral. Lineage: Eukaryota; Viridiplantae; Streptophyta; Magnoliopsida; Sapindales; Rutaceae.